GUUUUGUGACAAGGAUCCGGGACAACUGGUGUGUCCUGGAUUCUCUGGGAGAGGGUUGUAGGAGAAGGUCGGAAAACAGCUGUGGGAGAUGUGAGGAACCACCAGACGAACUUGAUUCACACCAUAAAUCUUUAUCCCAGGAUCACAAGCCACUGGUUUCAUCAUUCAGCGACCUAUAAAUCAGAUGGAUGUGGAAACAGAGAGGAGGAGGGCUUUCCAUCUCCAGCUGAGGAAAGGGUGUCACCUGCCUUGAGGAUGCAUCUUCUCAUCUGGUCCUCAUGCCCUGACUUACUCUGGCCGGUGUUCCAGUGAUGGACAAGUUCCUUAAGCCUGAGCCUCAGAUUGCCAGGCUCCUCGAUGCAGGACCUUUAAGACAUGCCCCAGAAUGUCCAAGCAUCACCCCACUAGAGGGAGUGGCCAACAGACGCCUGUGCACUAUCACCCAGCUUUUUUUGGUCAAAAGUGAACUGGUGGCCGAUCUCAUUAUUUUAUGUAUUCCCAGACAAAUACUUCUAACACUGGUGUUCUUAAAGCUGAUUCUAUUCAGCAAUGGUAUGCUGGAGUGAAUCCAUCACAGGAAGAAUUCUCAAAGAGCUUCUGCCUUUAAGCAAGGUUGUUGCAGAUGGAGGCAGAGGAGCACAGAAAGAAUGGAUAUCGGUAAAUCAGGAUUUUAAUUAAUUGCCUCAUAAGAAGGACUUCCAAGCAAUGUCGUGGGGUUGAGUCAGAACUUGAUGGAAAAAUAAGAUGGAGAAAUACAGCUGACUCUGCAAAAAUGGAACGUGAUCUGAAAAAGAAAAGAGAAAACAUGAGGGGGAGCACAAACUGAAAAAGGACAGAGCGACCAAGGUAUGCCUGGUCACAGAUAACGUUGCUCUUGUUCAGCUGCUCAGUCAUGUCUGACUCUCUGUGA
Molecule: long non-coding RNA, 910 nt
Filed under: Capra hircus (goat)
Lineage: Eukaryota; Metazoa; Chordata; Mammalia; Artiodactyla; Bovidae
Description: lncRNA (ENSCHIG00000005937.1)
Source: RNAcentral